CCAAUCAGCACAACCAUACCCUCAUUAAUCUGAAGAAAUGAAGCCUCUAGAGUGUAUACUUUGGCUGCAAGGACAAAAGUUCCAUAUUUUUUUAACCAGAUUCCUGCGAUGCCCCACACUCUAGCCUCGAGCUCUCCACUCUAGCAGACGCAAUACACACUCAUGUAAAAGUCAGAAACGGAGCGAAGAACUAGUGAAACAUAAUCAGUGAUUAUGAAAAAAGUACAAUAGAUAUCAAGAAGCAGUUUUUUUCAUAAAAUAGUUGAGACUUGUGUGAACAUUUGAGAGUUGAAAUGGUGUCUGUAGCUGAAAGAUUGGCGAAGCUGAAAAAUCUGAAAGUUGAAGAAGUUGAAGAGGAUUUGAAAAGCAAACUCCAUUUGAAAACCAUGUUAAAAUAUUAACGAUUAUUGAUUUAUAUAAAUUCAAGCUUAAGAGGUAGAAAGCUGAAAAGUCAUAGCCCGGAAGCCAGAAAGAAGCUGAACAUUUUAAUAUUUGAAGGAUUUUAAUAGCUGAAAGUGUGAAGGAGUUGAAAGGUGGCACGGAAGAAAUAGAAGAAUAAUAAUAAUAAUAAUAAUAAUAAGCAUUUCCUGCUGAAAAUGCGUUGGAAUGCAAAAAGCUGAAAGCUGCACUGAAUAUUUAAAAAUAGCUGAAAAUACAGAAAGUUGAAGGGAAUUUGAAUACAUUUGCUGAAUAUUUAAAAAUAGCUGAAAAUACAGAAAGUUGAAGGGAAUUUGAGUACAUUUGCUGAAUAUUUGAAAAUAGCUGAAAAUACAGAAAGUUGAAGGGAAUUUGAAUACAUUUGCUGAAAAGCUGAAAUGAAUUUGAAAUUGCUGAAAAUACAGAAAUGGGAGAAGCUGAAAGGAAUUUCAAUAGAUUUGCUGAAAAAGCAGAAAUGAAAACAGCUGAAAUAAAUUUGAAAUAUUGCAAAAAAAUACAGAAAUGAAUAUUAAAAAAUUGCUGUUGAUAGAGGCAUAAGAAUAGCUGAAAUUAUUUUAAAGAACUGCUGAAAAUACAGGAAGUGGGGAAGCUGAAUUUCAAUAGAUUUUCUAAAAACAGAAGUUGCAGGAGCUUAAAUUUGUUUAAAAUUGUUUGUAGUAAUAUUAGUAGUAGUAUUAGUUAUAAUUGUGGUAUUAGUAGUACUAGCAGUAAUAGUAGGUUUAGUAUCAAUAGCAGUAGAAACAGCUGUAAUACUAUUAGCCAUAGUCGUAUUUGUAAUAACAUUAGUAGUAGUUGUAGUAUUAAUAGCAGUAGAAAUACUAGUAGUAUGGUAGUAGAAGUAUCAGUUGUAGUACUAGAAG
This is a long non-coding RNA of Gasterosteus aculeatus aculeatus (three-spined stickleback), 1298 nucleotides long. Lineage: Eukaryota; Metazoa; Chordata; Actinopteri; Perciformes; Gasterosteidae. The record is from Ensembl.